This 295-nucleotide long non-coding RNA is filed under the name Phoenix dactylifera (date palm). RNAcentral describes it as "long non-coding RNA (PDAC_LNC020732)". Lineage: Eukaryota; Viridiplantae; Streptophyta; Magnoliopsida; Arecales; Arecaceae. The record is from RNAcentral.
AUGGAUCGUGGGCCUCCUCUCCGGCGCAUGGUUGAGAGACCCCUACCGAAGGAACGGGAGGCGCGCCCUUCGCGACUUCCGCCAACUAGCCGUUUCAUCUGGGAUCAACAAGGAGGUUCUCCCCGGCGGAACUCCGCUCUAGGCGUUUCAUCCGGGAUCACGUCUCCCCUCCUUGAAGUUCAGCCUCCCGAUUGAGCUCCGCGCCAGACGCUUGAUCCGGGACCGCGCCUCCAUAUGCUCUUCUCCCUUGUAUUCCUUCUCUCCCCUAACACUGGGGAGGACCGGAAUAUCCCUU